AUGCAAUCCUCGGCCGUCCGCGCCACCCCGCAGUGGCUGCGUGGCCUGCUGUCGGAGGAAUUCUUCGACGCGUGCGCCGUGCACCCGGCGGAGCGCAAGAACGACAAGAACCACUUAUGCGCCGACUGCGCCGCCGCCCUCUGCCGCCACUGCCUCCCGCACGAUCCCUCCCACAACGUCCUUCAGAUUUGGAAGUACGCGUCCUGCUUCGUCGUCCGCGUCGACGACCUGAAACUCUUCGAUUGCACCGGCAUCCAGUCGCACACGGUGAGCGAUCACGAGGUGGUGUUCCUGAACGAGCGCACGGCGAGGAAGCGCUCGGCUUGCGCGGAGAACCCCUGCGCCGCGUGCGCCCGGCCGCUCUCGUCAGGGCACGACUACUGCUCCCUCUUCUGCAAGGUGAAGCAUCUGGGGGAGAGCGAGCGGGGGCUGAGAUGCGCGUUACGCGUGAACAGGAAGGCGGCGGCGGCGGCUGGUGAGCCGCAGAACGGGAAGCGGCCGAGGGCGGCGUCGUCAGAGGCGGGGCCGAGCUGUGGCGGGUCGUCCGGUAAGCGGAGCCGGAAGCAGCUAGCGCCGGCUCGCUCACCAUUCUGUUGA
This 597-nucleotide ribosomal RNA is filed under the name Triticum aestivum (bread wheat). RNAcentral describes it as "partial small subunit ribosomal RNA". Lineage: Eukaryota; Viridiplantae; Streptophyta; Magnoliopsida; Poales; Poaceae. The record is from RNAcentral.